GUGAACCUUUACUAUAGCUUGACACUGAACAUUGAGCCUUGAUGUGUAGGAUAGGUGGGAGGCUUUGAAGUGUGGACGCCAGUCUGCAUGGAGCCGACCUUGAAAUACCACCCUUUAAUGUUUGAUGUUCUAACGUGGACCCGUGAUCCGGGUUGCGGACAGUGUCUGGUGGGUAGUUUGACUGGGGCGGUCUCCUCCUAAAGAGUAACGGAGGAGCACGAAGGUUGGCUAAUCCUGGUCGGACAUCAGGAGGUUAGUGCAAUGGCAUAAGCCAGCUUGACUGCGAGCGUGACGGCGCGAGCAGGUGCGAAAGCAGGUCAUAGUGAUCCGGUGGUUCUGAAUGGAAGGGCCAUCGCUCAACGGAUAAAAGGUACUCCGGGGAUAACAGGCUGAUACCGCCCAAGAGUUCAUAUCGACGGCGGUGUUUGGCACCUCGAUGUCGGCUCAUCACAUCCUGGGGCUGAAGUAGGUCCCAAGGGUAUGGCUGUUCGCCAUUUAAAGUGGUACGCGAGCUGGGUUUAGAACGUCGUGAGACAGUUCGGUCCCUAUCUGCCGUGGGCGCUGGAGAACUGAGGGGGGCUGCUCCUAGUACGAGAGGACCGGAGUGGACGCAUCACUGGUGUUCGGGUUGUCAUGCCAAUGGCACUGCCCGGUAGCUAAAUGCGGAAGAGAUAAGUGCUGAAAGCAUCUAAGCACGAAACUUGCCCCGA
This 710-nucleotide ribosomal RNA is filed under the name Salmonella enterica. Its description in RNAcentral is "partial 23S ribosomal RNA". It matches the Rfam family "Bacterial large subunit ribosomal RNA", at positions 2093 to 2802 of the family's 2925-position model. The record is from RNAcentral. RNAcentral also lists the same sequence under 1 other name. Lineage: Bacteria; Pseudomonadati; Pseudomonadota; Gammaproteobacteria; Enterobacterales; Enterobacteriaceae.